RNAcentral lists this ribosomal RNA (253 nucleotides) under uncultured bacterium. RNAcentral describes it as "partial 16S ribosomal RNA". It matches the Rfam family "Bacterial small subunit ribosomal RNA", at positions 524 to 776 of the family's 1533-position model. The record is from RNAcentral.
UACGAAGGGGGCAAGCGUUGUUCGGAAUUACUGGGCGUAAAGGGCGUGUAGGCGGUGCUGUAAGUCGGAUGUGAAAACUCUGGGCUCAACCCAGAGCCUGCAUCCGAAACUGGAGUGCUAGAGUUCUGGAGGGGGUAGCGGAAUUCCUGGUGUAGCGGUGAAAUGCGUAGAUAUCAGGAGGAACACCGGUGGCGAAGGCGGCUACCUGGACAGAAACUGACGCUGAGGCGCGAAAGCUAGGGGAGCAAACAGG